RNAcentral lists this ribosomal RNA (253 nucleotides) under uncultured bacterium. Its description in RNAcentral is "partial 16S ribosomal RNA". It matches the Rfam family "Bacterial small subunit ribosomal RNA", at positions 524 to 776 of the family's 1533-position model. The record is from RNAcentral.
GACAGAGGGUGCAAACGUUGUUCGGAAUUACUGGGCAUAAAGAGCACGUAGGUGGUUCGCUAAGUCACGUGUGAAAUCCCCCGGCUUAACCGGGGAAUUGCGCGUGAUACUGGCGAACUCGAGGCGGGUAGGGGUGAGCGGAACUCCAGGUGGAGCGGUGAAAUGCGUAGAUAUCUGGAGGAACACCGGUGGCGAAAGCGGCUCACUGGACCCGAUCUGACACUGAGGUGCGAAAGCGUGGGGAGCGAACAGG